Molecule: ribosomal RNA, 374 nt
Filed under: Mesodinium pulex
Lineage: Eukaryota; Ciliophora; Litostomatea; Cyclotrichida; Mesodiniidae
Description: partial Bacterial large subunit ribosomal RNA
Rfam family: Bacterial large subunit ribosomal RNA
Source: RNAcentral
CGAAAGCGAGUCUGAAUAGGGCGCAUGAGUUAGAUGGAUCAGACCCGAAACCGAGUGAUCUAGGCAUGGCCAGGUUGAAGGUUGGGUAACACCAACUGGAGGACCGAACCCACAUCCGUUGAAAAGGAUCGGGAUGAGCUGUGCCUAGGGGUGAAAGGCCAAUCAAACUUGCUGAUAGCUGGUUCUCCGCGAAAUCUAUUUAGGUAGAGCGUCAUCCGAAUACCCCCGGGGGUAGAGCACUGGAUGGGUAAUGGGGCCCCACAGGCUUACUGAUCCUAACCAAACUCCGAAUACCGGGGAGUACUAGAUGGCAGACACACGGCGGAUGCUAACGUCCGUCGUGGAGAGGGCAACAACCCAGACCGCCAGCUAAG